GACGAACGCUGGCGGCGUGCUUAACACAUGCAAGUCGAACGGAAAGGCCCUGCUUUUGUGGGGUGCUCGAGUGGCGAACGGGUGAGUAGCACGUGAGUAACCUGCCCUUGACUUUGGGAUAACUUCAGGAAACUGGGGCUAAUACCGGAUAGGAGCUCCUGCUGCAUGGUGGGGGUUGGAAAGUUUCGGCGGUUGGGGAUGGAUUCGCGGCUUAUCAGCUUGUUGGUGGGGUAGUGGCUUACCAAGGCUUUGACGGGUAGCCGGCCUGAGAGGGUGACCGGCCACAUGGGGACUGAGAUACGGCCCAGACUCCUACGGGAGGCAGCAGUGGGGAAUAUUGCACAAUGGGCGGAAGCCUGAUGCAGCAACGCCGCGUGCGGGAUGACGGCCUUCGGGUUGUAAACCGAUUUCGCCGGUGCCGAAGCGUGAGUGACGGUAAUGGGUAAAGAAGCACCGGCUAACUACGUG
Molecule: ribosomal RNA, 468 nt
Filed under: uncultured bacterium
Lineage: Bacteria
Description: partial 16S ribosomal RNA
Rfam family: Bacterial small subunit ribosomal RNA
Source: RNAcentral